AGAAUCAUAGCUCAAUUGGUAGAGCAUGCGCUUGAUAAGCGCAAGGUUAUUAGUUCAAUCCUAAUUGGUUCUA
Molecule: transfer RNA, 73 nt
Filed under: Guillardia theta
Lineage: Eukaryota; Cryptophyceae; Pyrenomonadales; Geminigeraceae
Description: tRNA-Ile
Rfam family: tRNA
About the family: Transfer RNA (tRNA) molecules are approximately 80 nucleotides in length. Their secondary structure includes four short double-helical elements and three loops (D, anti-codon, and T loops).
Source: RNAcentral